UGAAGACAACUCCCACCAUGCACCCCGAUGCACAGCUUCGCAGGCCACUCCCACUGAUCUAGAUCUCCGCCUAUCAGAGACCUUGCGGUUCCGUCUACCCAGCUGGUACCGCCAGCUGAUUACCGACAGGUGGAAAAUCAAUUCAAACCACAUUUCUAGUGAACUCUGGUGAAGUCAUUAGCAAAUUACCCCUCGUUUGUACUUCUUUCUUGUGAUAUGGUGAACUUUUGCAUGGUGCUGGGAUGUUCCAGCAGGACAAGGAAAGGACAAGCAGUUUGUUUUCAUCGCCUACCAAUAAGAGAUUUGCAACGUUGCAAACAGUGGCUACGGGCUAUCAAUCAUCCGAAUUUUGGAGAAGACACAGCCAUGGAAGGCAUAAAACUGAGGAAGGUUUGCAGCUUCCAUUUCAAGCCAGAAGAUUUCGAAUUAAAUGUCCUGGGAACGAAGAGAGCAGCUCUUUUGAACACCGCAAUUCAGUCAGUAUUUACAGUUCCAUAUGACGAUGAACAGCCCGGGAUGUCUACAACUAGCAGCGCUAAACGCAUGUGCCUGGAGACUCUAACAACGUCUGCUGCAGCUUUGUUCUCGUCGUCAGAAGAUGAGGAAGACCAGUCGGCGCCACUGAUGUCAACACCAAUGGAGAAUCCUCCCUCUGGCAGAGCACAGUUUUCACCAGGCCUCGAUACCAGUGCCAGUAGCCUUGAAGUUGGUGAAACCGACGAAAGCUAUCGGCCUGAAUCAACCCUCACCCCCACAUCGGCGUCGUCAUCAGAGGAUGAAGGUGUAAAGGACUGGCGUGAAAAGAAGAUUAUUGUCAAUGAAUCCAGCCUCAUGUCACUAUUCAAAUUUUGCCAGAUGUGUGGGAAACCGAUUUCAUCGAAGACCAUCUUUGAUUCUGGGGCACUUGGACAUCUUCACCUGACGUAAGGGGAAUGCCAGAGGUUAAUCUCCUUUCAGCUGCAGCUGUUCUGUUCAGGGGCGGCACAUACACAGAACUCUCAGACUGGUGCCAAACCAUGGGUCUCCAAAUGAUUGGGCAACUACGUUCUAUAACAUUCAGAAGGCGUACUUGCACCCGGCUAUUGAGAACGUCUAUAGGGAGAAAAGAACAGAACUCUUGGCAAGAGUUUAUUUGGAACAGGAAGAUGGGAAGAGGCCACAUUUGGCAGGUGAUGGCCGAUGUGACUCGCCAGGCUUCAAUGCAAAAUACUGCCACUACACCUUUUAUGUUGGACGACACAAAGGAGAUACUCCACACAGAACUGGUGCAGUGUAGAGAGGCCACCAGCUCCGGACCCAUGGAGCCACUGGGUUUUACGAGAGGAAUGACUGAGCUUCUGGACUUGGGCCUUGACGUGGAGGUGAUGGCCACGGGCCGCUCCUCGUCAAUACAAAAAAUAAUUCGGGAACAAUAUCCUAGUGUCCAGCACGAAUUUGACAUCUGGCACACAGCCAAAGGUUUCAGGAAAAAGAUGCUGAAGAAGGGGGAAAAAAAGGGGCCAUGAAAUCCUUCUUUCAUGGACCAGGUCAGUGUUGGAUUGUAAUCUUGCAGAAGUUCCUUUGAUUUACAAGGUUUCAAAUUACUAAUUUUAAUAUCGUUCACUGGUCUGUCGUCAACCACAUGUGGUUUACCUGUGCCACAUGUAAAGGUGACGUAGAGGUAAGGAAGCAAAAGCUGCGAUAAGCUCCGAUUUCUUUAUUUUUUUAGUAAUAGUAUUCUGCCCCCGCUUCCUUGUGUGUGUGGCGCGAACUAGCCUGUUGCGUCAGCUCGGCAGAUAGAUAACAGUUUUCCCUUUAUAAAGAAUGAAGCAGCUUGUUUCCUUUCCAAACUUUACUUGGUAAGCACUGUAAAACUGGACAGAUACAAAAUACAUCUUUCAGUAUAUCAUACAGACGUUCAAGAACAGUAUUCAUCUAUUGUCCGUUUAAAACGUUUCAUAACAAACAUUAACAUAUACGUUAGCUUAGGGCUAACGUCUAUUGGAAAUUACAUUAAGAUGCUCGCGAUUAGCAUAAAAGAUCAAAAUAUACAUUCUGAACUAAUUUAAUUCCAUGUCAAGAUAGCUGUAUGACAUCUACUUACAGGCAAACGUGUUUUCUGGCCAACCAAUACAAAAGAGAAAAAGUACGUGACUGUUGGUUCACAUGCAUCGUCGAACUACGGCAAGACUGCUAGUACAAAAACAUUGCGUUAAAAGUUGACCACUAGGGGUCUCCCUUUCACCAAAUAAACAUCAGAACAGCACAAAUAGUAUUGCUGAGUUCUUCAAGGAAAGUGGUCGAAUCCAAAGGAAUAGCUUUAAAGAGACUUUAUUUAGUAUAAAGUAUUUUCGGUAUGGUUAACUGAUACUCUGAAGCAAAGAGAGACUGAAGAUGUGUCUAAGCACGUGCGAGCGUCUCCUAGCUGAUCAAAAACAUUAACCCUUGUAUGUAUAAUAGCUGCCGAGAAGAUUCUGAAGACAUGCUCGAUCUGUAGGCUGUUAUGGUCUGAACAGCGCGGACCGGAAGUAGUGGGAGGAGCCGGUGUGACGUAACCCUCGGCUUCCUCGCCUGGUCUGUGGUGCUGCCUUCUGUGGCUAAAGUAUUUAUUGCAGCCUUCAGUAAGGUCUUGCUCCCCUUGUGGCUAUGUAUAGUAUUUACGGCUUAUGUUUGGUCCUACCCCCUAGUGGUUAAGUGGGGGAAAUACAGCUUGUGUUCUUAAAAUACGUAACAGUAUUAUUGAGACUCUCUUCUUUCACACAGGCACUGCAAAAACGGUGGAAGUUCAUUCCACACCAUGCUUGCAAUGAACAUGAAUGGACAGAUGGUGACGGAAAUCGUCAUCGGUGUGACCACACUCCUCUUACCGCCUGUGAGCAGAAGAAGAGGAUGUGGAUUGAGAAGGACUCGGUGGCAUUUCAGGACCUGUCGUCGCUGGUCCUAGACAAAAGGCUAUUGAAAGACCUCGAGAAGGUGGCCCUCUUCAAACAUACUGGGCCACUGGAGAUCUUUCAUAGUGCUCUCCUGAAAUACCUCCCCAAACGCCAGGCCUUCUCGUAUGAUGGAAUGAAGGAGAGGUGCUACCUCGCUAUCCUGGAGCACAAUGAAAACAUUGUGAAAAGGAAACAAGCCACCACAGUGACAGGAGAACCACGGUUCAAGCUGGCGUACUGCAAGAAGUCCAAACAGUGGAUAUUGAAAACCAUCUUCACGCCACACACCACCGAGUUUAUCAGACAUCUCAUCAACAGGGUCAUGGACAGAAGACAUGACCCUAACAUAACGUUAAACGUCCCAACCUCCUCACUCACCCUGGCACAACCUGCUUUGCCAGCCAACAUUGCCCCUGUACCUAAACCAACAAAGGAGGCUGCCACAACCUUGUUCAAAAGCCGCUUCUGAGACCUCAGCCCAGCACCCAAAAAUGUUUUUGUUUGGUUCCGGACCCAAAUUAUUUUAUGAGCCAAAUUAGUUUAUGCAAACUAUAAUUACGUUUUGGUACAGCACCUCUUCAUUCUGUACAAGGAUGAGCGAAUUUUCUCGUUUUCAAAUGAAAACAACCUACCUAUCAUUCGCUGGCGCUGGAAAAAAUUAAAAUAAAAAUUCCCUAUCUACCCAUGACCUCUCAACUGACAACCAACAGGAACCAAUUUUUUUUCUUUUUUAGGCCCAACUCCAUCUCAUUUACAUUUAGGGCAUUUAGCAGACGCUUUUAUCCAAAGCGACUUACAAUAAGUACAUUAAUAUAUCGCUGUCGGUACAGAAAGGAUGUUCAUAGAACCAAGUGCAAGUACCACAAUCGCUAGGUUAAUCAAUUCCCCGUAUUACAGACAUGAUGGCAGCUACUGCAGUUGCACUACAUCUCUCUCCGCUCUGCUAUUCUGUAUUCUAUUACACAGAAAAUCAAGGGUCUCGGGGCUCCUCACCCCGAGAACAGGAGUACCGAUCACUGUCGUAUGAUGGUGCUAAUAAAGUAUUGUUAAUUGAUCCAUUGACUGCUGUUGUGGUAUUCCUAGUAGGCCUAAGAGGUUUGUGCGAUUAUAAUAUAUUUAGUUUGACCCAGUUUAUUUUAAUUUGUUGUCUACCCAUGACAAACUUCAUUUGUGAAUGAGAAAUAUAAUGUAACUCCUGCUCUUGUCUGUCUACACCAAAGUUCAACAUUAUAAACUUGGAAGGAGGUAACUGAUAUGCAACUAACUCAGUGCAAUUUAGACUUAUAGAUUUAUAAAAAUGAUGAGUUACUCUGCUAUUGUUUUUUUCAAGGGAACAGCUUAGUAGCUCCACUUGUGAAAUGUUGGUCGUCCAAUAAUAUAAUUAUUUCUCGGAUAUACACUUGGAGCAACACUAAUAAGGACUUCAACAACGUGAAUUUCAACCAUUUACUUCAAGAAAUAAACAACAAAAAAAAUGUAAACAAUGAAACUCAUAGUUCCUCCUGAACGUCGUCAGCUUCUUGGUGUCCACAGUACUGGCCGUCUGGAGCAGGAUAUUUUUGUCGGAUGGUCUGCACGACGCAAGAAGGUAAAACGACCCGACAGCCUCUACCCAAUCUCACGCCUUGCAGGACCCAUUCCAAAAAGUGUCGGUAGGCGAUAUUGUCUAGAAAAAAACAUUGAGCAGACAGUUAGCGAUAGAUGGUCUCCAUGCAGUUAACAUGCCACGAUCGUAACGGAAAGAAUUUAAAAACACUCACUUUACAGUCAGACGUCCGUUCGUCCCUGCAGGCUUUGGCUGACGUUUCCAGUUUACCUUUGGGAUUCUGAAAUAAGUGUCCAGGACGCCGCUGUCCAUAUGCAAUGCGAAACUAGGAUGGUCCACAACACAUGUCCGUGUCCUCGU
Gadus chalcogrammus (walleye pollock) is the source of this 4818-nucleotide RNA transcript. RefSeq lists it as uncharacterized. The record is from RefSeq and is a predicted model, not a curated record. Lineage: Eukaryota; Metazoa; Chordata; Actinopteri; Gadiformes; Gadidae. The transcript is spliced from 7 exons.